GGGCCCGUAGUCUAGCGGUAGGAUUCCGGCCUCGCUAGCCGGAGGUCCCGGGUUCGAAUCCCGGCGGGUCCA
Molecule: transfer RNA, 72 nt
Filed under: Ignisphaera aggregans
Lineage: Archaea; Thermoproteati; Thermoproteota; Thermoprotei; Desulfurococcales; Desulfurococcaceae
Also listed under: 1 other name
Description: tRNA-Ala
Rfam family: tRNA
About the family: Transfer RNA (tRNA) molecules are approximately 80 nucleotides in length. Their secondary structure includes four short double-helical elements and three loops (D, anti-codon, and T loops).
Source: RNAcentral